CUGUGCUAUCUUUGCAGCGGUG
RNAcentral lists this unclassified non-coding RNA (22 nucleotides) under Chlamydomonas reinhardtii. Its description in RNAcentral is "small RNA Cre_1524". Lineage: Eukaryota; Viridiplantae; Chlorophyta; Chlorophyceae; Chlamydomonadales; Chlamydomonadaceae. The record is from RNAcentral.